RNAcentral lists this microRNA precursor (142 nucleotides) under Manihot esculenta (cassava). RNAcentral describes it as "miR393d stem-loop (mes-MIR393d)". Its record names the gene mes-MIR393d. The stretch from base 16 to 125 matches the Rfam family "mir-393 microRNA precursor family". Lineage: Eukaryota; Viridiplantae; Streptophyta; Magnoliopsida; Malpighiales; Euphorbiaceae. The record is from miRBase by way of RNAcentral.
UGAUUAGUUAGUGCAGGCGGAGGGUUCCAAAGGGAUCGCAUUGAUCUACUGAUUCCUCCAUUAAAUGAGUUAAAAUUCUCACUUUUUUAUUCAUUGGAUCAUGCGAUCCCUUAGGAAUUCUCCACCUAUAGCUCUAAAUUCA